This is a long non-coding RNA of Haliotis rufescens (red abalone), 490 nucleotides long. RefSeq lists it as uncharacterized. The record is from RefSeq and is a predicted model, not a curated record. NCBI's taxonomy places the organism in Eukaryota, Metazoa, Mollusca, Gastropoda, Lepetellida, Haliotidae. The transcript is spliced from 4 exons.
CGAGAGCAUCUGGCCACUGCACCGACCGCCAAAAAACGCAGUUUAUACAGCCGGCACCAAGCCACCCGGAAGGAAGCGGCAAAGCACCAAUCACAAGCGAGAUCACUAAUGCCAAGGCCGUCAUUUCCGCAAUCGCUGACCAUGGCGGCUCACGUAUCUGAUUGUGGCAGGCUGGCAUCAACACACCCAAGGUGCUCGCUCGCUCGCUCUCGUCGCAUCUCCAUCGAGGGAGGGGACGAUUAUGCACAUGCAUCUGAAGACCCUCUCCAAGAUGCCUCCGUGACCACCAACAUAAUCUCCUGACACAACUUACCACAGCCCCUGAUAUUUUCUGCUUAAUGGAAGAUUGUGAAAGCAAUGGUGAAGGAGUAACUGUCGAUGCACUUUACUGGGACCAGCUGAUUUGGCACUAAUUGACUCAGGCUGUCGAUUGUGGCUCUCACUUCACAGUAGAGACUUGGAGCAAGUCUAGCCAAUCACCCACCUUUCC